AGCGAACGUUAGCGGCAGGCCUAACACAUGCAAGUCGAGCGAGAAAAGAAUUUCGGUUCUUAGUAAAGCGGCGAACGGGUGAGUAACACGUGGAUAAUCUGCCCUCUGGCGGGGAAUAACCAUCCGAAAGGAUGAAUAAUGCCGCGUAAGUCAUAAAAAUCUUUGGGUAUUUAUGGGAAAGGAGGCCCUUAAAAGCUUCCGCCAGAGGAUGAGUCCGCGGCCCAUCAGCUAGUUGGUGAGGUAAUGGCUCACCAAGGCUAAGACGGGUAGCUGGUCUGAGAGGAUGAUCAGCCACACUGGGACUGAGACACGGCCCAGACUCCUACGGGAGGCAGCAGUGGGGAAUCUUGGGCAAUGGGCGAAAGCCUGACCCAGCCAUGCCGCGUGAGUGAUGAAGG
This 398-nucleotide ribosomal RNA is filed under the name uncultured bacterium. RNAcentral's name for it is "bacterial SSU rRNA". It matches the Rfam family "Bacterial small subunit ribosomal RNA", at positions 29 to 414 of the family's 1533-position model. The record is from RNAcentral.